AUGGCGUCCCGAUCCACUUCCGGCGGCUCUCGGAGGGGCCUCAUCUCGUGCCUGCACAGCAGCUGCAGCAGCGCCGGCGAUGCGCCCCAACAAGACUCGCAGCAGGCCGUCCACAGCCUCAUCGCCGGCUUCUACGAGGAGGCGUUCGACCGGCUGCCCUGCGCGACCAUGCCGGGCCUCGCCCGCUCCCUCGCCACCGCCGGCUUCUGCAGCAGCCCCUCUGAUGCCCAAGUGACCCACGGCCAUGGAGUCGUCGUCGUCCGUGUUCGUCGGGAGGUCGGCGAUGACGUUGUCGAGACGACUUCUGUCGACGUCUCCGACGACGGCCACAAGACCACCACCACCACCACGUUCCGGCGAGCCGGCGAGCGCAUCACGUCGCUGCGGCAAGCGGGGGACAUGGCUGCCAAGAUGUCAGCCUGCCUGACAAAGGCAGAGGCGGACGCCCAAAAAUACGGCCUGGACACGAGGAGCCCGUGCGCGCGCGGCGACGCCUGCGAGUACGUGCAGUCCCUAAAGAUGCGCCUCCACGACGCCAUACACGCCUCCUACCUCAAGGCGCUCGCCCUUCUCGUGCCCUGCACUAGCGCUGGCACCACCGGAGGAGGCUCGCUCAUGCGCAGCAUCCUCGUCGCCGGCCACUGCUACGGCUCCAUGGACCCUGUCUCCAACAUCAUUGUCCGCUCACUCAAAAGCCUUACAGAGCUCAUCCAUGCCGCUGCCGACGCCGCGUCGCCUGGCCCCGGAUUCUCGACGGCGUGGGCUCUAGAGACCCUCUGCCGUACACAAUGCGACCUCUUUGACAUGUUAUCAUCAUCAAGAAAUCUUGCGAAGAGCCAUUUCCAGGAAGCGGCCAUGGCCGCCGGACACCCUCUGCCUGCCGACCUAGCAUUGCUCCACCAGCAACUCCUGCUGAGGCCUCGUGUUCUGGGCGAGCUGCGUGCCCUGACGAGCAAGACGAGCUCCAUCAUGUCCAUUGAUCACAUAGCCUCCAUCCUCGACAAGGCGCUCAGAUCCAGCACUCCAAGACUAGUAGUGCAGGUGGAUCUUGAGGCUCCUGAAAUGCACGCCAAGGCUCUGAGCGCGGUGUCGAGGAAGAGAUCAAAGUAUGAUGACCGGAGGAGCUUCCUUCGCUCUAGGCUUGAGAAACUGCUGGAGAACUAUGCCUCGCAGCAUUUCUGGGAGCUUGCACCUCUGAAGCUUCGGUCUCACGGGAUCAGCCUUGGAGGGAUGCGCUAUGAUGAGCGGUACACACCUUAUUUGGACGAUGCCAGUUGUAGGCACACUGGAGGUAUUGGUGGUUGUCUGCUCGCACUUUCCAUAUGGAGCUGGGAGCGUCUGCCGGUUGGACGACCUAAGACCGUGAAGUACGAGGAUUGGGACGAUAAAGACGACCCACUACGGCUCCCCACUUGGGCUUACAAGUGGGAUGUGUUAAAUGAGACGACGGAUGAUCCCUCGGUAAUGUACAAGUUGUACAAGAGCGAGCUGGACGCGAUCACGCCUGAGCAGGUGGAAUGGGAGCCGUAUGGAAAAGGAGAGAGUUUUGGUAACCCUGUAGAGUUCAGGCUUAAUCCGAUGUGCAUUAGGGAUAGGGAUCUCUGGCAUAUGUGGUGCCCACUGAUAUGCAACUGGGUGGUUGAGCUUCACCUGCCACAUCGGGUUUUCCGCCAGUUUGGUUUGUUCCAGCCACACCCGCCGGAGUGGGAGGACACGGACAAGUUGCUACACGCGUUGGAUAGGAAAAAGCAACGGAAGAUCAAGGAUUGGGCCAGCCAUCACAAGAAGUAUGUCGUGCAGUUCGCUCUUAGUGUGGAGCAAACAAGGGCUGGAAAACGAGCCCAGCUUCGUGAGCACUGCCCGAUCGCGUUCAACAACUAUCUCGCAUGGUUUCUUGCAAAUACCCGCGUGGAGGUAUGCCAGCCGGCGUAUGCUGAGGAGAUUCUGGAAGAACCCACCGUUUUUGAUGAGAUCAAGAAAGCAGCUGACGAAACCGAGACUAUUCUGGAAACAACCCCGGCUGGCAAAAGAGAUGGGGAAGGUGCACUUCGAGAAUUCAUUAAGCGCCAGGGCCAAAAGUUAAGGCGGCUAUCAAACCUUUUCGGUUGUCGUGACCCCGAGUAUGUAUCACCAGAACGGUCUAGGUCGGCGACACCAUCAGAUCCCGCUUCGGGGCAGAGCCAUGGUGAACCUUUCGAGGAUGAGGAUGUGGGUGGGGUCACCCAAGAGGUUGCUGAUGAUAUGACCUUGGGGACGUACCGGGCUCGGUCUGCAUACGAGUUGAAGCCUAGGAGGGGAAUCAACAAGUACACACCUGAAGACUUCACCCAAAGAGGCAAAAGGACGGCGGCACCUCGCGGAUGGCGGCUUUGGAUGACUAUUUGGAUGACGAUGUCGAACCGGAGGCGGAGCCGGAGCCGGAGCGGGUUCCUCUUCCUAGGAAGGUGA
RNAcentral lists this ribosomal RNA (2448 nucleotides) under Triticum aestivum (bread wheat). Its description in RNAcentral is "partial small subunit ribosomal RNA". The record is from RNAcentral. Lineage: Eukaryota; Viridiplantae; Streptophyta; Magnoliopsida; Poales; Poaceae.